CAGCGUGAUGUCUAUGUGAGAACUUCAUUGAAACAAGAUAAUCUGAUGUAAUUAUAGCCAAUUACUCAUUCGUGGCUGGCAUUAUUAUAUGUAAAAUGCUUUUUCAUUUAGGGGAAUAGUGUUUAUUCCUUGUAGUGAAUGAACAGCAAUAAAGCUUAUNUGGCAUUAUUAUAUGUAAAAUGCUUUUUCAUUUAGGGGAAUAGUGUUUAUUCCUUGUAGUGAAUGAACAGCAAUAAAGCUUAUAUAAGAAGAAUUAAACUUCUUUGUCAGAAUUUUUUGGACAUAAUGGUAGACAUUC
Molecule: long non-coding RNA, 298 nt
Filed under: Olea europaea (common olive)
Lineage: Eukaryota; Viridiplantae; Streptophyta; Magnoliopsida; Lamiales; Oleaceae
Description: long non-coding RNA (OEUR_LNC002917)
Source: RNAcentral